Felis catus (domestic cat) is the source of this 2458-nucleotide long non-coding RNA. RefSeq lists it as uncharacterized. The transcript has 3 exons. The record is from RefSeq and is a predicted model, not a curated record. Lineage: Eukaryota; Metazoa; Chordata; Mammalia; Carnivora; Felidae.
CCCUUUCUCUGCCAUUAGGGACUCUGGGCGGUAUUGAUCCUCCUGCCGCGGCCAUCAGGACGAGCCAAGGGAACCCCCCUCUCUCCCCCAUGAGCUGAGGUCCACACAGCCAUCCCCAGCUCACAGCCAUGGCAGGCGGGUGGAAUUCUGAACGACGGAGAAUCAGAGCCCAAACAGGAGACACAGAAGCUAGUCUGGCGAUCCCGCAGACGCGACAGCAGGUCCCAGAUCUGCUGAGACAGUGAAGGAUGGGGUGUGGGUGACGUUCCCACCGAGACUCACGUGGGACCUAGCAGGUGAAGGAGUGUCUUUGUCACCAGCACGGAAGACAUUCUCCGCGACGUUGCCUUCCCCACCCGGCAAACGUCCCCCUGGAGCAGCUGAGAAAAGUGUUUUAAAGGGCGGAAACUAAUGCAAGCGGUAGGUUCUAUUGUGCAUAUUUCAGAUCCGGGAUGUGGAAUUCGCAGCCUCACUUGAUGACAUUUUAAUUAAGUUUCUAAUUUUACCAGGGAGGGAGCAAAAAUAAUCUACUGGUAUCUUAAAUGCUGACAUCACCUCAGGCUUCUGGACAGCCUCAGGGUUCAGGACUGAGGGCAGGCCGACCCCAGGACCGCUGUGGCACGGAGAUCCCAGCUGAGGGCAACGGAGACCCUGUGGGCUCAGGAGAAACUUCCGAGCUUCCUUUAACUCCACGGGAGACUCUAAACAGGGGGCCUUUCCCAGAGUAAGAGCUAUUAGCAGAGAUGAAUGUUAUCCGGGUGAGCCAUCUGUACGGCAGGACAGACGUCUAAUUGCCGAACAUCUGUCCUCUUUCCACCCUGCGAGGUGGGUUCCUUUCUCCGGCGGCCCCAGAUCCUCGCAUUCCCCAUGACACACACACCUCAGUUUGCCCUACUGUCUUCAGAAUUUCCAGGUCUGUGUGCAUUCCUCAUACACACGCCCAUUAAAUUUGAUUUUCUCCUGUUAAUGUCUCAUGUCAAUUUGAUUCUUAGUCCAGCCAGCAGGACCUUGGAGGGGUUUGCUCAGGAUCCUGGAGUUCUGGGUCAUUCUCUGAAGGCUUCCAAAGCAGAUGGAAGAAAACAUCCAUCCUCACAGCCUCUCUGGAUACAGAUUCUUCAAGGACUUCCUUUUCCUAAGAGACGUCACACCAACAGAGCCACACAGUCUGCUUCCUGCUCUGUUAGGCCAGAAAUUGAUCAUUUCAGUCCCAAAUUGGUAGCCUGUCUCCAUUUAUACCUUAGAUUGAAAAAUGGGAGACAACUUUUAGAAAAUAAUUUAUAAUGAAAACUUGCUGAUUAAAACUAACUAUACUUAUUAUUUGUAGCGAGUGCUUUUAGUUAAAAUAAGGUUCCCCAAGUAGGAAAUCAUUCUAAGAAACUGCCACAUGCUGUUUGCUUGAUUUUUUUAAGGAACUGAUCUGCCAAGUUGCGAGACCCUCCCUUCAUAGCAUCUACUCGAACACCCACUCAUAUUCUGGGGCUCACGGGGUACCUCGGCACCCAGUUCUGUUGUGAAUGUGAUCCAUGGGUUUUUGUUUGGCUAUGUGGCCACUCUGUUUUAAGGCUGGGAUUUGGAAAGACUAAAGACUGCCACCAUCAUCUUCUACUUCCAACCUUUUUUUGGAUACAUCAUCGUACUUUAUUCAAAUUCCACUCUGAUCACCUAUGGUCCAAGAACACUCGAAUAAUAAACCAAAUAUGAACAGAUGUUAAAGAUUGGUCUUUAUUAUAGCCAAUGAUGCCAAUCACUUGCCUGUGAUCUUGCCGACAUAAAACCACAUCCACCCCUCGGCGGCCACCAAACCACUCAGCCUAGUUUCCUUAAACGUGAACUGUUUGAAGCUACCAGCUUGAGGACUCUUGACUAUUUCUUUCAAGCUCUGAGUAGCUGUAGGGAUCUCAGCAGGGGCUGGAGGAAACAGCGCAACCUUGGCAUAGUGCCCAAACGUGGCCAGUCGAGGCUUCGGGUAAGUCACAGCUGCAUUCACCAGUGCAGGAAACUUCUCGGUGAGGUUAUAGACAAAGUGGGCCGUGGUUCCAAGAUCACUUUGGACAUGUUUUAAAUCAGCAUUUCCUACCUACGACUCUGUACUCAGCCAAAUCACCCAUUAGGUAUUACAUCAGAGAAAAAACUUGCUUUGGACAUUUACUUUCCAUGCACCGUUCCCAGGAAGCUACUGGAGAAUAUAUUCCACCAAAAUAAAGAGACACAACACGAAAGGAGGUACGGGAUCUGGACGAGCGGUGGACGGCAUUCCCGGGACAGGUGAAGGGAGGCCACCGUGGGGCCAGCACAGGGCGCCAGGCGGCUGCAGGAGAGCAUCUCCGGGUGCACGCUGUUUUGGACCCAGCCCAGCACUUUCCCCACAGGACACUCAGGUCUGAGGCAGAGACGGUGUGACCGCUGUUCCGGUGUGAGGACUCUCCCCUCUGCAGACAGCCCUGGACACACAUACAUC